This 253-nucleotide ribosomal RNA is filed under the name uncultured bacterium. RNAcentral's name for it is "partial 16S ribosomal RNA". It matches the Rfam family "Bacterial small subunit ribosomal RNA", at positions 524 to 776 of the family's 1533-position model. The record is from RNAcentral.
UACGAAGGGGGCAAGCGUUGUUCGGAAUUACUGGGCGUAAAGGGCGCGUAGGCGGCUUAUCAAGUCAGGCGUGAAAUUCCCGGGCUCAACCUGGGGGCUGCGCUUGAUACUGAUGAGCUUGAAUGCGGGAGAGGAUAGUGAAAUUCCCAGUGUAGAGGUGAAAUUCGUAGAUAUUGGGAAGAACACCGGUGGCGAAGGCGGCUAUCUGGCCCGUAAUUGACGCUGAGGCGCGAAAGCUAGGGGAGCGAACGGG